This 450-nucleotide ribosomal RNA is filed under the name uncultured bacterium. Its description in RNAcentral is "partial 16S ribosomal RNA". It matches the Rfam family "Bacterial small subunit ribosomal RNA", at positions 354 to 796 of the family's 1533-position model. The record is from RNAcentral.
GUGGGGAAUUUUGGACAAUGGGCGCAAGCCUGAUCCAGCAAUGCCGCGUGCAGGAAGAAGGCCUUCGGGUUGUAAACUGCUUUUGUACGGAACGAAACGGUCCUGGCUAAUAUCCGGGGCUAAUGACGGUACCGUAAGAAUAAGCACCGGCUAACUACGUGCCAGCAGCCGCGGUAAUACGUAGGGUGCGAGCGUUAAUCGGAAUUACUGGGCGUAAAGCGUGCGCAGGCGGUGCUGUAAGACAGGCGUGAAAUCCCCGGGCUCAACCUGGGAAUUGCGCUUGUGACUGCAGUGCUGGAGUGCGGCAGAGGGGGAUGGAAUUCCGCGUGUAGCAGUGAAAUGCGUAGGUAUGCGGAGGAACACCGAUGGCGAAGGCAAUCCCCUGGGCCUGCACUGACGCUCAUGCACGAAAGCGUGGGGAGCAAACAGGAUUAGAUACCCUGGUAGUCC